This 474-nucleotide ribosomal RNA is filed under the name Triticum aestivum (bread wheat). RNAcentral describes it as "partial small subunit ribosomal RNA". Lineage: Eukaryota; Viridiplantae; Streptophyta; Magnoliopsida; Poales; Poaceae. The record is from RNAcentral.
AUGUUACCUUCCAAAGUGUUCAUGCUGAGGUUGAGGCUGGCGAGUCGACUCAGGAGGCCAAGCUCGGACGGCACACCACCACGGAAGUUGUUGUUCGACAGCUGGAGCCUUGUCAGCCAAGUGAGCUUGGCAAUGCAAGGUGCUAUGGUGCCUGAGAUGCCUUGGGAUUCAAGGUCCAGCGCGAUGACACGCCGGGGGGACGUCGCGCUGCAGGUGACCCCGUACCAGUCGCAGAACUCCACGGACACGUUGCUCCAUGAAGCUAGAAAUCCAGCGGGACCCGAGAGCUGGGAUUUGAAGCAAAGGAGGGCUUGUCUAUCGCUCGGUGUUUCAUCGCAAAUUCCUAAUGAUGGUAGGCUGCAAGAGAAACCCAGGAAGAGGCAGAGAAACCGAACGAAGCCUGGAAACAAUAAAGAUGUCAUUACUCAGCUAUCGAGAUUGAAGCAAGCUCUCGCUUUGCAAGAGGAUUUCUAG